This is a long non-coding RNA of Passer domesticus (house sparrow), 2136 nucleotides long. RefSeq lists it as uncharacterized. The record is from RefSeq and is a predicted model, not a curated record. NCBI's taxonomy places the organism in Eukaryota, Metazoa, Chordata, Aves, Passeriformes, Passeridae. The transcript has 4 exons.
CCAAUAGUCUCUUCCUUGCUCAUUGUAUUUCCCUUGGUGCAGUUCCGGGCACAGCCAGUGGGGGCGCUGCUGGCUCCCGGCCGGGCAGGGCGGGUGCGAUGAUUCCCCCACUCCAGCAGGGGGCGCUGUGGCGCGGCUCAGGGCCCACAUGGUAAUGGCGGCUUGGCCAAGACGAGAAGGGGCAGAAAAAGGGCUUGCUUUACAAAUGUCUCGGUUUUGAGACAGUUUUAGAAGGAAAAUUCUCUGGAAUGAACAUCUUCUAUACAGAAGGCUCCCACCUAUGGCCUGGUUUUCGGAGCUGAAGCUGAAGAGUUCCAGAAGAAGCCACAGAAGUCACCGGAGGAUUGCAGUAUGCAGUCCAGGAAAAUGUCUUGCCUCAGCUAACAAGGAGAAGCUAGCUAAAAGCAAAGAAUGUAACUCCCUCUCUGCUGCAAGGCUGAGCACGGGAGAGUGUGAGAGCUUGAACACAAACUGUGCCCAGCUCCCUCCCUCUUCCAGACCUAGCUUAAAGUUACAGGACCCAUUUCUGGGCAUAAAGCAGAUUAUAAGGGAAUGAAGCAUUAUCAUAAAAUUGCCUCAAAAAACAAACCUCCCAGGGGCAGCCGAUCCUGGUGCCCCAGCAGGACCUUCGGAAGCAGCAAGAUGGAACGGCAGGAAUGAGCAAACAUCCCGUAGACGAGAUGUAUCAGAAACUCUGCAGCUGGAGCUGGAACCGCGAGUGGAGUGUCCCAGGGCGUGCGGAGCUACAGCGCACCAAAAAGCCCGGAGCACCGGCAAAGCGACGGAAGAGCUGGGCAGGGGCACCCCUGUUAUAAAUGAGAGAACGCUCCCGGCACUAAAGUGAUUUCAGCAUUUAUUAUAAUAAAAUAAAGGCCUAAAGCAAGGGGGCCCGCGGGCCGAGCAGGAGCGAUCCCGUCGAGGAUGCUGCAGCGCCGGCGCGAUCUGCUUCAGCAGCGAUGUCCCUGAUGUUCCAGGUGGAGCGGCACAGGUUCAGUGGGUCCGAAGCCCCUUUUUACCCUGUUUUUGUCCCUUUGUAUUGGCUUCUUUUUGGAUCCUUCAUUUGCAUGAAGGUUUAAGGCGCUUGAUUGGCCCUUGCAGUUCUGUCCAGGCUGGCUCGUUUCCCUUGGGGGGUAAUGCACUUUACUUAGGUCUAAUACGGUACACUGAGUACCUUAUUUCUUAUAACUUUAAUCCUUUUAACCGCUUUUACUACAUAACAGCCAAACUAACAGUACAUGCUUAACAACUAUCAACUAUUUUACUACAGUUUCUAACCUAUUUUUAACAGCCCGGUUCCCGAACAUGGCAGAGAGAGGCUCCUGGGACGGGAAAGGGGCUCAGGGAUCCCGGGGUUUCCUCUGAGGCACUCCACCAGAUGGCGAAGGGUCCUCUGGUGAGGUGACACGGGCGCUGCUCACGGUGCAAGAAAGACAGCAGGACCCCCGCAGUGGUAACAAAUUCUCCCCACAACGACCGCAGCCUCUCUCCCCUCUGACUGCCGAGAGCACAGGAUGCCUAGGGGCUGUGCCUAGCCCCUUUCUCCCCAGCCCAAUUCUCGGUAACUUUGUCCUUCCGGUAGAAACUCCUCAGCCCCCGCAGUAAAGCCAGCUGGACUGCUGUCCCUUCUCCUUAGUUACUUCUUUUGUCUCUCUUAAGUACCAAUCGUUAUUGUUUCUUAGCAACAAAAAUGGGAGAUAUUCCCCGAGAAAACAAAAGGAGGAAAUUCUAAACCCCAACCCAUUGUGUCUCUUCCCAUGGCAGGGGUAUGGAACUGUGUGGAACCUUUCAACCCAGUACCAUUCUGGUAUUCUAGGAUUCUAUGACUUCCUCCUCCACCAUUUGAAUCCCAGUUGGCCUUUCAGGUUAUCAGGGAAGGAGAAAGGCUGUGUGAGAUGCAGACAGGCUAUGGAGAGUCCAUUUCCAUCCAGCUCCACCAGAGGUGCCACCUUCCCAACUACCAGUGUGAAAUCCCCAGCCCUUUUCUGGAAAGACAAAAGGCUGCAGUUUUCCCUGUUUGUGUUUCUCCGGCUCUCUGGCUCCUGCUGUGCCAAUAAUUGUUCCUCUGCUGUUGGGAUUACUGGAAGUGCUUAACCCAGGGCUACCCUUUUUGCCCUGUAUUUCACAUCCCCGCAGGAU